GACGAACGCUGGCGGCGUGCUUAACACAUGCAAGUCGAACGGAAAGGCCCUGCUUUCGUGGUGUUCUCGUGUGGAACACGGGUGUGAAACACGUGAGUUCCCCGCCCCUGACUUUGGGAUGACUUCAGGAAACGGGGGAUAAUCCCGGAUAGGCGCUCCUUCUGCUUGGGGGGGGUAGGAUAUUUUCGGCGGGUGGGGGUGGACUGCCGGCUUGUCAGCUGGUUGGGGGGGGAGUGGCUUACCAAGGCUUUGGUGGGUGGCCGGCCUGGGUGGUUGACCGGCCACAUUGGGACUGGGAAACGGCCCAGACUCCUACGGGAGGAAGCAGGGGGGAAUAUUGCACAUUGGGCGGAAGCUGGUGGCAGCAACGCCGCGUGCGGGAUGACGGCUUUCGGUUGGUAAACCGCUUUCGCCGGUGACGAAGCGUGAGUGACGGUAAUUAGUAAAGAAGCACCGGCUAACUACGUG
This 468-nucleotide ribosomal RNA is filed under the name uncultured bacterium. RNAcentral's name for it is "partial 16S ribosomal RNA". It matches the Rfam family "Bacterial small subunit ribosomal RNA", at positions 28 to 507 of the family's 1533-position model. The record is from RNAcentral.